This 830-nucleotide ribosomal RNA is filed under the name Russula subbubalina. RNAcentral's name for it is "partial large subunit ribosomal RNA". It matches the Rfam family "Eukaryotic large subunit ribosomal RNA", at positions 99 to 906 of the family's 3401-position model. The record is from RNAcentral. Lineage: Eukaryota; Fungi; Basidiomycota; Agaricomycetes; Russulales; Russulaceae.
CGGGAAAAGCUCAAAUUUAAAAUCUGGUGGUCUUUGGCCAUCCGAGUUGUAAUUUAGAGAAGCGUCUUCCGCGCUGGACCGUGCACAAGUCUCCUGGAAUGGAGCGUCAUAGAGGGUGAGAAUCCCGUCUUUGGCACGGACCCCCAGGGCUUCUGUGAUGCGCUCCUCGACGAGUCGAGUUGUUUGGGAAUGCAGCUCAAAAUGGGUGGUGAACUCCAUCUAAAGCUAAAUAUUGGCGAGAGACCGAUAGCGAACAAGUACCGUGAGGGAAAAGAUGAAAAGCACUUUGGAAAGAGAGUGAAACAGUACGUGAAAUUGUUGAAAGGGAAACGCUUGAAGUCAGUCGCGUCGACCGAGACUCAGCCUUGCCUCGGCUUGGUGUACUUCUCGGCUGACGGGUCAGCAUCAAUUUUGAUCCUUGGAUAAUGGCAAGGGAAAUGUGACACCUUUAUGGUGUGUUAUAGUCCUCUGUCGCAUGCAAGGAUUAGGAUUGAGGAACUCAGCACGCGCCUUUGGGUGUCGGGGCCUUGCCCACGAUACGUGCUUAGGAUGCUGGCAUAAUGGCUUUAAACGACCCGUCUUGAAACACGGACCAAGGAGUCUAACAUACCCGCGAGUGUUCGGGUGGAAAACCCGUGCGCGUAAUGAAAGUGAAAGUUGGGACCUCUGUCGUGGAGGGCACCGACGCCCGGACCAGACCUUCUGUGACGGAUCUGCGGUAGAGCGUGUAUGUUGGGACCCGAAAGAUGGUGAACUAUGCCUGAAUAGGGUGAAGCCAGAGGAAACUCUGGUGGAGGCUCGUAGCGAUUCUGACGUGCAAAUCGAUCGUC